UAAUUUUACUUGAUUCAGCCCCUAAUUCUCCCUAUUUAACUUGAAGCCAUCUAUACCUCUGAAGAUGUACUGAAGUGCUGUCUUCUCAUGGCUACCAUGUAACAAAUCUCCUUUUCCCGCCCUUUAUCAUGCCUCUUUAUUUGGUAUAUGAGGGCAAUUGACUAGACCUAAUCUGAAAGUCCUGGACUUUGUGUGUGGGGCCUGAAAAAGUUUCAGAGAUGCAUUAUGGCCCAGAAAAAAAAGAUUCAGACAUCUAAAAAGAUCAUACAAGAAACCACUCCACUAUUACCGGCAAAGAAGACCAGGAAAAGACAAACAGAAGACGGGAAAGAAGCAGUUAGCCAACAAUUCAUUUCUACUCUUAACACUAAGAGAAGAGAGAGGAAGACUCAACUAACUCCUUUCUCUCUCUAGUUUAGAACUAGUCUCAAUACAACAGGUGAUACACGUGGGGGAGGAGAACUUCCUGGCCAAACAUCACAGAACUGCAACUUCUUCCAAACUCUGAAAUUUAUGUAAACAGAUCAUAGGCCACUAUCUUCAAACUAAAUCAAACACAAGAUUUUAUUUCUGGGUCUGUCAUGAACUUGCUGGAUAAUUCUGAAACUUCAGUCUCUCUACUUUGCUCAAUAACUAAACCACAAUAUGCAUACCUAAAAUUAAAUCAUGAGGUCUAAUAAAAAUCUAUUUUCCAACUUAUAGAUUUUUGUGGAAAAUCUGACAUAAGUAUAUGAAAAUAAAUCAUACUGUAUAAGUCACAUUUAAGAAAUGUGCAUUAAAUAUUAAAAAUGCACCACAUAAGAUUAUCCAACUCAAAAACGUUGAAUUCUUCCAUAAAGGUAUUCACUAGACAAAAAUAUAUAUAAUAUCAGCUUUCAAAGGGCGAAAGGAGUUUGAGGCUUUGAAUCUGAGCUCAGUUAUAUUUAGAAAACCAAGAUGACACUUCAUUGGAUCUUGUAUCUUUAUCUUGGACAUUUGAUUCAUAUGCUUUGCCUGUACAAUUCAAAUCAAGAGAUCUAUACUAAACCUGGAAAAUAAACUGAACCUAUCAGAAUUUACUGGAUGUUAGAAGGAUAACAUGCCAUAACAUGCCUAUCCAGGGGGAAAAAAUCAGAAGCUACUAGAGUUAAUAAAAAGCUAUCAGCACCUCCAAGUCAAAUCUAAAAGCCACUGUUGACUUCAUAAAGAUUUCUACCUCAUUCCUAGAAAUCCCAAUUUAGGAACCUAGGACUAAACUCAGGAAAUCUAGUAACCAAAAGCUAUCAUACAUAGUUCUGUUACACAAGUUAGUUCAGAAAAUAUUGGUCUAGGAUAAGACUACAGAAAGAAUUUAUGCCAUUAUAUCAUAUUUAAAUGCAACCAAAAAUUAGUAGAUUGCCAGUAGUGAUAGGGAACUGGUAACAUUCAAAUCAUCUGCAUCCUUGAUUCAGAUCACCAAGUAGAUGAUUUUUUAAGGAGUAAGAAGAAACCUAGAUCUGGAUUAUUACCUUUUAAAAGCAGAAGCUCUUGAAGACUCAAGGAGGGUAGUAAGAACAUGUCUACUGGGCUAGGAAUGUGGCUUAGCGAUAUCGAGUGCUUGCCUAGCAUGUAUGAAGCCCUGGGUUUGAUUCCU
Long non-coding RNA from Perognathus longimembris pacificus (Pacific pocket mouse), 1612 nucleotides. RefSeq lists it as uncharacterized. The record is from RefSeq and is a predicted model, not a curated record. Lineage: Eukaryota; Metazoa; Chordata; Mammalia; Rodentia; Heteromyidae. The transcript is spliced from 3 exons.